AGCCCAUCUAAUCUCUGCCCAAAGGUAUAGCCUGUCAGCAUUCAAAUGACAAUUCAUAUAGCCUGAUUUUCUGUAUAGAAUACUUCAAUAAUAAGAUAGAAGCAACAUUUGUGUGUGUGUGUAUCUGCUGAGAGUGCAGAAGAAAAUCGCAUGUUUCAUGAAAAGACACUGGAAAAUGAAAGAUGGAAGAUAAACCCACACAGAAUAACUGAAUACAAAUAUUAAUAUAAUGCAUAAUCAAAAGUCAUACAUUUGGGAGCUGGUUUAGUGUUCAUAGAAUCUGCUUAACAUAAGACAUAUCCCAAUAUCUCACACCAGGACCAUGUUGAUGGAAACAUCACUGUUUCAGCAGCUGGUGGUUUCAAAGCAAACUUAUACGGUGAACAGAAAGCAAGAGGAUGUCUACAAAGAUUCUUUUCAAGUCAGAACUGGGGCCCAGGAGACAUUAUUGUGUUUCCUGCGAUAAUUAAAUGAGCUGCAUGAGGUCCUACUGAUGAUGUCAUGCUCAUGAUGUUGUUUGGCUUGUUGAAUUUCUGUAUGCUUGAUGCUUGUGAUGCAAGAUCUGAUACACAGCUGAGACAAGAAUGAUGACAGUUUGAAUAAACUUAAGACUCCAAAUUACAGUGAUAAAAAAUAGAGCAUAGAGCAAGAUAAAGCUGAGAAAAAUUAGCAUAUAAAAUGUUGAAAAUGAUUUAACAUAUAAUAUUUACAUUAACGUCAUAAUCUAGGGUUAGGGUUAUAUUACAUCAUGGGAAUGUAUGAAGGAUACAGUGCAAAGCUCAUCACACCUACAACACAAACAUGAUAUCACAAAUCUUUUUCUUGUAGUUGAAAUUAACAAAUCUGGUAGAGCAUCGGUGUCGAUGAUAAAAGUUGUGAGUGCAGUCAUGAGAUGUUUGAGACAAUUUGUUAUUAUUAAAGUUUUGAAUGUUUAGGAUGCUUUAUGACUUAAGAUGAUGUUUCAAAACCAUGCCUGUACACAUUUUAAAGUCACGCAAGUCACA
Molecule: long non-coding RNA, 1004 nt
Organism: Clupea harengus (Atlantic herring)
Lineage: Eukaryota; Metazoa; Chordata; Actinopteri; Clupeiformes; Clupeidae
Source: Ensembl